Long non-coding RNA from Ostrea edulis (European flat oyster), 513 nucleotides. RefSeq lists it as uncharacterized. The transcript has 2 exons. The record is from RefSeq and is a predicted model, not a curated record. NCBI's taxonomy places the organism in Eukaryota, Metazoa, Mollusca, Bivalvia, Ostreida, Ostreidae.
CUUGGUGCUGUUAUUUAUAGAAUAAAAUUAUAUUCAUUUCUUUAAUACGCUAGAAUGAGAUGCUUGUAUUCUCCAUUGAUGAAAAACUUUUAACAAGGAGAUAAUCUCGUGUUUCUUGAUAAUGGUAUGUAUUGAAAUAAAGUCACAUAUAUAUACAUAGUGUAGUGGUAUAUAGGUAAAGUUCCAAUCAUUGGAGUGGGAGGCAUAAACUCCGGGGAAGAGGCCUACAAAAAAAUCCGGUCUGGUGCUAGCCUGGUUCAGCUUUACACAGCUCUUAUUUAUCAGGGACCACCAGUAGUCAAGAGGAUCAAACGGGAGCUGCAAGAAUUACUCAAACGGGAUGGUUUUAAUAAUGUUUCGGAAGCGGUGGGAGUUGACGUCAAGUUAUGAUGAAACAGAAGACUAACUCCGAGUUUUUUAUUUGUGUAUUCAUUGAAACUCUUAAUUGUUAGUCACUGUGGGGAAACAGGAAGUACCCGAAAAUCCAAAAAAUAAAUUAUGGGGAAGCAGGAA